CGCGUAGGCGGACCGAUAAGUCGGGUGUGAAAACUGGCGGCUCAACUGCCAGCCUGCAUUCGAUACUGCCGGUCUUGAGUACAGGAGAGGAAAGCGGAAUUCCAGGUGUAGCGGUGAAAUGCGUAGAUAUCUGGAAGAACACCAGUAGCGAAGGCGGCUUUCUGGACUGAUACUGACGCUGAAGCGCGAAGGCUAGGGGAGCAAACAGGAUUAGAUACCCUGGUAGUCC
Molecule: ribosomal RNA, 229 nt
Filed under: uncultured bacterium
Lineage: Bacteria
Description: partial 16S ribosomal RNA
Rfam family: Bacterial small subunit ribosomal RNA
Source: RNAcentral